GGCUUAGUGAGGCCCUCGAUUGAGGUUCGGAGACUGGCAACAGUUUCUGUCUUUGAGAAGUUGGUCAAACUUGGUCAUUUAGAGGAAGUAAAAGUCGUAACAAGGUUUCCGUAGGUGAACCUGCGGAAGGAUCAUUACCAAUUUUAGCGAGCCUGGCAUUACUUCCAUGGUCUCGUGAAAUUAUUGUAUUUAAAACCCACUCUUCUAUAAUAAAAUAAUAUGUAUUAUGAUAAAAAAUUAAAGAUCACUUUCAACAACGGAUCUCUUGGCUCUCGCAUCGAUGAAGAACGUAGCGAAGUGCGAUAAGUAGUGUGAAUUGCAGAAUUCCGUGAAUCAUCGAAUCUUUGAACGCAAGUUGCACUCUCUGGUAUUCCGGGGAGUAUGCCUGUUUGAGGGUCAGUUUAAAUAAAAAUCGGUGUGUUGCUUUUUGUAACGCCUCGGAUUUGGGUUAUCUUAGCCUUUGGGUUAAGAGACCUAAAAUUGACUUUUUUUGUGCAUUUUUAUAGACGUACAUAAGAUAUUUUUUUAUUCGUCUUGGAAUGUCAAAUUUAUUAGGUAUGAUCAUGUUGUGUGAUUUCGUACCUAUAGGUUUCAUCAUCUGACCUCAAAUCAGGUAGGGACACCCGCUGAACUUAAGCAUAUCAAUAAGCGGAGGAAAAGAAAAUAACAAUGAUUCCCCUAGUAACUGCGAGUGAAGAGGGACAAGCUCAAAUUUUAAAUCUGUUAGGUAUCACCUGGCCGAGUUGUAAUUUGAAGAAGCGUUUUCUGCGCCUUGAUCAGCCCAAGUCCUAUUGAUGAGCAUCAUGGA
This 808-nucleotide ribosomal RNA is filed under the name uncultured Glomeromycotina. RNAcentral describes it as "eukaryotic LSU rRNA". The stretch from base 246 to 399 matches the Rfam family "5.8S ribosomal RNA". Lineage: Eukaryota; Fungi; Glomeromycota. The record is from RNAcentral.